CAAUGAUAGGUAGGGGUCCUGAGAGGAGAUCCCCCACACUGGUACUGAGACACGGACCAGACUCCUACGGGAGGCAGCAGUGAGGAAUAUUGGGCAAUGGAGGCAACUCUGACCCAGCCAUGCCGCGUGCAGGAAGACGGCCCUAUGGGUUGUAAACUGCUUUUAUACGGGAAGAAACAUCGCUACGUGUAGCGACUUGACGGUACCGUAA
RNAcentral lists this ribosomal RNA (211 nucleotides) under uncultured bacterium. RNAcentral describes it as "partial 16S ribosomal RNA". It matches the Rfam family "Bacterial small subunit ribosomal RNA", at positions 274 to 483 of the family's 1533-position model. The record is from RNAcentral.